Molecule: ribosomal RNA, 153 nt
Filed under: Geotrichum sp.
Lineage: Eukaryota; Fungi; Ascomycota; Dipodascomycetes; Dipodascales; Dipodascaceae
Description: partial large subunit ribosomal RNA
Rfam family: Eukaryotic large subunit ribosomal RNA
Source: RNAcentral
CGGCAACAGCUCAAAUUUGAAAUCUGGCGUCUUCGACGUCCGAGUUGUAAUUUGUAGAUUGUAUCUUGAGAGCGGAUUAAAGUCUGUUGGAACACAGCGCCUUAGAGGGUGACAGCCCCGUAAAAUCUAUUCUCAUUGUAAGAUACUUUCGAA